CGACGGACGAACGGCUGGCGGCGUGCCUAAUACAUGCAAGUCGAACGGUCUUUCUAUGGAAGCUUGCUUCCACUGAGAAGAUAGUGGCGAACGGGUGAGUAACACGUGGGUAACCUGCCCAUAAGAGGGGGAUAACAUCCGGAAACGGGUGCUAAUACCGCAUAGUUUUCUUGAUCGCAUGAUUGAGAAAGGAAAGACGGCCUUUGUGCUGUCGCUUAUGGAUGGACCCGCGGCGUAUUAGUUAGUUGGUGGGGUAACGGCUCACCAAGACGAUGAUACGUAGCCGACCUGAGAGGGUGAUCGGCCACAUUGGGACUGAGACACGGCCCAAACUCCUACGGGAGGCAGCAGUAGGGAAUCUUCCGCAAUGGACGAAAGUCUGACGGAGCAACGCCGCGUGAGUGAAAGAAGGUUUUCGGAUCGUAAAACUCUGUUGUCAGAGAAGAACAAGUUGGAGAGUAACUGCUCCAGCCUUGACGGUAUCUGACCAGAAAGCCACGGCUAACUACGUGCCAGCCGCCGC
This 523-nucleotide ribosomal RNA is filed under the name uncultured bacterium. Its description in RNAcentral is "bacterial SSU rRNA". It matches the Rfam family "Bacterial small subunit ribosomal RNA", at positions 35 to 518 of the family's 1533-position model. The record is from RNAcentral.